GUGCUGCAAUAUGUGUAGGCAGUAGCCGUUUCAACAUAUUAUUAUUAUUAUUCCCUAUGCAACUUUGGCUCCCUUUUCUCUUCCUCGUAAUUCGUGCACCUGGGGAAAAUGAAAACCCCCUUCUUAAACCCCAACACACACACACACACAGAAAAAAGAAAAAAAGAAAAAAAGAAAAAAAGGAGAAGUGUUUCACUGUUAAAACUGUCUCUGCCUUUAAUGGAACAAGACAAAUAAUAAAAGAGAAAGAACAAAUCUUUUUCAAGAAGAGAGAGAGAGUGUGUGAGUGUGUGUUUUAAGAUCUGUUUGAAUGCAUUUUCUCACUGUGUUUCUCCUUUUUUUGUGAAAACACUUUGACCAGUUAGGGUUUGUUUGGACCAAAACUAAGUUCUUUGGCCAUGGCAUUGCUACUGGAUUUUUCAGGAAGGUGGUUUUUUCCCCAAGAAAGGUCAGAUAGAGAAGCAGGAGUUGAGCUUGCUUCAGAGGUUUUGAGCUGGUGGUCAACUGUUAAACCGGGUUGAACUUCCUUGUGAUUUUCUAGAACAUGUGAACUAAUUACAUAAUUAGUUAAUUAGGGAAUGAAGCCAUCGGUCCGCGAAGCAUAUCAAGCUUUGUAUCAUAUUGACAAUACCAGUAGUGAUUCAUAGUGCAUGAAGUAUUUUUUGGCAUAUCAAAGCUACUAAGGUUUAUAUUA
Long non-coding RNA from Nicotiana tabacum (common tobacco), 694 nucleotides. RefSeq lists it as uncharacterized. The record is from RefSeq and is a predicted model, not a curated record. Lineage: Eukaryota; Viridiplantae; Streptophyta; Magnoliopsida; Solanales; Solanaceae.